AGAGUUUGAUCCUGGCUCAGGACGAACGCUGGCGGCGCGCUUAACACAUGCAAGUCGAGCGAGAACCAGGGCUUCGGCCCUGGGGACAGCGGCGAACGGGUGAGUAACACGUGAGUAAUCUGCCCUCGGCACCGGGAUAGCCCGGGGAAACCCGGAUUAAUACCGGAUAGCCUCCGAAGCCUUCGGGCGUCGGAGCAAAGGUAGCUUUGGCCUCUGGCCGAGGAUGAGCUCGCGGCGGAUUAGCUUGUUGGUGGGGUAAUGGCCCACCAAGGCGACGAUCCGUAGCUGGUCUGAGAGGACGAUCAGCCACACUGGGACUGAGACACGGCCCAGACUCCUACGGGAGGCAGCAGUGGGGAAUCUUGCGCAAUGGGCGAAAGCCUGACGCAGCGACGCCGCGUGCGGGAAGAAGGCCUUCGGGUUGUAAACCGCUUUCAGCAGGGACGAAGCUACUCGGGUGAAUAGCCCAGAGGGUGACGGUACCUGUAGAAGAAGCCCCGGCUAACUACGUGCCAGCAGCCGCGGUA
RNAcentral lists this ribosomal RNA (527 nucleotides) under uncultured Actinomycetes bacterium. RNAcentral describes it as "bacterial SSU rRNA". It matches the Rfam family "Bacterial small subunit ribosomal RNA", at positions 8 to 522 of the family's 1533-position model. The record is from RNAcentral. Lineage: Bacteria; Bacillati; Actinomycetota; Actinomycetes.